AGCGUAGACGGAUGGACAAGUCUGAUGUGAAAGGCUGGGGCUCAACCCCGGGACUGCAUUGGAAACUGCCCGUCUUGAGUGCCGGAGAGGUAAGCGGAAUUCCUAGUGUAGCGGUGAAAUUCGUAGAUAUUGGGAAGAACACCGGUGGCGAAGGCGGCAACCUGGCUCGAUACUGACGCUGAGGCUCGAAAGCUAGGGUAGCGAACG
RNAcentral lists this ribosomal RNA (207 nucleotides) under uncultured bacterium. Its description in RNAcentral is "partial 16S ribosomal RNA". It matches the Rfam family "Bacterial small subunit ribosomal RNA", at positions 568 to 774 of the family's 1533-position model. The record is from RNAcentral.